This is a long non-coding RNA of Oreochromis aureus, 250 nucleotides long. RefSeq lists it as uncharacterized. The transcript has 3 exons. NCBI's taxonomy places the organism in Eukaryota, Metazoa, Chordata, Actinopteri, Cichliformes, Cichlidae. The record is from RefSeq and is a predicted model, not a curated record.
UUGUAUGCUGAUGAGUCUUGUGUGUUUUUUUUUCUCUGUCUCGCUAUGACAGAGAAAUGUAUAUGCUCAAUAUUGCUGUUUAAACUGAUGCUCAAAUUUCCAAGCACCACCUGAACGCCUCAUCGGUCUUUAACUACUCACUGCACCAACUGUCGUCAUUCCGCUUUGCUCUCUGCUGUGGAACUUGACUCGCAUCUGUGCUUUGCCUGUGUGCAGAAGAAGAACAAGGACCAGAUCUCCAGUCUUCUCU